GGUGAACGCUGGCGGCGUGCCUAAGACAUGCAAGUCGAGCGGGGCAGGUUUAUACCUGUUCAGCGGCGGACGGGUGAGUAACGCGUGGGUGACCUACCCGGAAGAGGCGGACAACCUGGGGAAACCCAGGCUAAUCCGCCAUGUGGUCCUGUCCUGUGGGGCAGGACUAAAGGGUGGAUAGCCCGCUUCCGGAUGGGCCCGCGUCCCAUCAGCUAGUUGGUGGGGUAAAGGCCGACCAAGGCGACGACGGGUAGCCGGUCUGAGAGGAUGGCCGGCCACAGACGCACUGGAAUCCGGGCGGAGCUACUACGGGGGGCAGCUGUUAGGUAGCUUCCACAAUGGACGGAAGACUGAGGGAGCGUCGCCGCGUGGUGGAGGAAGCCCUUCGGUGUGUAAACUCCUGAACUGGGGACGAAAGCCCUGUGUAGGGGGAUGACGGUACCCAGGUAAUAGCGCCGGCCAACUCCGUG
Molecule: ribosomal RNA, 470 nt
Filed under: uncultured bacterium
Lineage: Bacteria
Description: partial 16S ribosomal RNA
Rfam family: Bacterial small subunit ribosomal RNA
Source: RNAcentral